UUUCACGUUCUCUCCCCAGGCGGCCCACAGUUAAAAACUGAAUGGCAUAAGGAUACUGAAGGCAAGCCCUGUUGCCUCAAGAGGGAACAACUCUGUGGUGCCCCUCACACUCCAGAGACAUCCUGGGAUCAGGCUGAGCCUAGAACUCAUCUGAAAUCACUUACUUGCUUGGUUCCUUUCCCAGCUUUGUAUCCUGCUUCCCCCGCUUCCUUACAACUUCUCCUAAGAGAGCUUCUUCAAUAAAUCACUGGAUAAGAAUUUCAGUCUCAGGUUCUGUUUCUAGGGAAUCCGACCUAAGACAUUUAUUCAACAAAUGUUUAUUGAACACUUGCUUUGUGCCAAGUUUUGAGCUAAACUCCAGGGAUUCAGAUAUCAAUAUACCACAGUUCGUUCUUUCUGGAGUUUGAGUUCUUGGAGGGGAUGGGGGGUGGGGGGCCAGUACAUGGACAGCUAAUAAAAUGUGAAAAAAGACCAUAACCAACAGACUCUAUCAGAAACAUGUCACAGGAUCAAAGAGAAGAGAACACCUAGCUCUGCAUAGAGUGAGGAGAAAGGUGAGACAUCAUGAAAGACUCCACAAAGAAGACUGCAAGUGAUAAAAUAGGAGUUCAUCAAGUUGAUUAGUGUAAGAAAGAUUUAAAGGAAAGAGGGGCAGUCCUGUGAAACAGUGGAGUGACACAAAAGAGCAAGGAGACUCUCUGCAGACUGCUAAAAGGACCUCAUUUGAGUAAACUGAGUAUGUGAAUGCCCUAUAGAGCUGUUACGGAGAAAGAGUGUGACGGUUAAUACUGUCAACUUGAUUAGAUUGAAGGAUGAGAAGUAUUGUUCCUGGGUGUGUCUGUGAAGGUGUUGCCAAAGGAGUUUAACAUUUGAGUCAGUGGACUAGGAAAGGCAGACCUACCCUCAAUCAGCUGCCAGCACAGCCAGAAUAAAAGCAGGCAGAAGAAUUUGAAAAGACUAGACUGGUUUAGUCUUCUCGCCUCCAUCUUUCUCCCAUGCUGGGUGCUUCCUGACCUCAAACACCGGACUCCAAGUUCUUCAGUUUUGGGACUCAACUGGCUUCCUGGCUCCUCAGCUUGCAUACGAUCUAUUGUGGGACCUCAUCUUGUGAUCGUGUGAGUCAAUCCUCAUUAACAAAUUCCUCUAUAUAUACAUCUACCCUAUUAGUUCUGUCCCUCUAGAGAAGCCUGACUAAUACAUUGAGUAGGUAUUAUGUAUCAUGCAGAAUGGGAAGGGUUUUUACAAGAAUAAAUUUUAAUCUUAAUCUCAAACUUUCAAGGUAGUUUUUGAAGAUCAGAUAAAUUUACAAUCUGCUCCAAAUAUCACAGCUAGUAAAUGACAUACUUGUCUUCUAAACUUCAGUUUAUCUGGUUCUAAAUAAUAUACAUUUCAAAUGUACAAUUCUGGUGUAUUAUAAGACACAAGUGCUAGAUUGCAUAAUAGUAUAUCCUUUAAUUUGGAAUAUCAAUGAAACUGUUUUCAUGAGCCAUGGGAAUUUGUGAAAAAAAAUGGAUUGAGAUUGGAGUUCAAAAUUUGGCUGUAUUUCUUAUGUUAUAGUCUUAGUUCAUUCAAUUGUAAAGGGACUCAAUUAUCUCUACUAGCUCAGGUGAAAAACUACAAACAGUCUGAAAUAAUUAAUGUUUGGUUGUAGAGUAUAACUCAUUUGGAGUUCUAUCAGCCUCUCAAUGAAUUCUUUCCGACUACCAGUUUAAAUCUUAAUGUAAGUGUAGCUGAGAAAGUUUGUCGUUUCUGCAUUCCCAAGAUCACUUGGCCAAUCAUGGUGAUCUAAACCAUUAUCAGAACUCAACUAAAAUAUAAAAUGCAUGAAGCUAAACGUGCCUUCUUUUCACGACUUUCUAAGAGGAGUUUUGGUUAAGCUUUGGGGCAGCACAGGAUAUCCUUAUGGAAACAAAAUCUAUAAGCAAAAGAGAGAAAAAUAGAAUGGAUCUAUCUUCUUGUGAAGUCCUUGUACAUGUCUGGUAAUCAGCCAGGUAUUUCCCAUCUGAUAAUCUAAUUCACCCCUCCCAAUUCUAUGGGUUAAGUAUUAUCACACCAUUUUCACGCUUGUGAGAAAAGACUCAGAUUAAAUUAUCAGCCAGUAUCCUUCAGGUGGCAAGUAGUUAGAGCCAGCAAUCAAAGAAACCUUGCACUUUUGAUCUAAUGUUGCAUCACAACUCUAUUUUUGAACUGCGUAGAGUAGUAUAGUAGCUACUAGAAUAGUAUAAAUACAGUAGCCACUAGCCAUUUAUGGUAUUUGAAUACUUGAAAUCAGACUAAACCAAACUGACUCGUGUUAUACAUUUCACAUGCACACCAGAGUUCAAGAACUUAGUACAAAAAAACCACAAAUGUGAAAUAUAUAAAAACAGGAAGUGAUUAUUUUAAUUAUAUUGGAUUAAGUUAAAAUUUUAAAAAUUAAUUUCAUGGAUUUCUCUAUACUUUUAAAAAUAUUGCUAGUAGAAAAUUUAAAAUUACAUAUGAAGCAUGUAUUUUAUUUCUUUUAGACAAUGCUGGCAUAGACUCUUUCAUAGGGAGCCAGGGAAAUUUAGUUUUGUAAGACACUUGUGCUCAUCACUGUCUGUGAUACCUUAAGCCAAAUCUUAGUUUAACUGAGCUGUGUUUUUUCAUCUAACAAAUGUGGAUAAUAACAUAUGCUCUGCAGGGCUUACACUGGGGCUAGAGGCAAAGUAUGUAAAGCAUUUUCCAAGCGUCUGUACCAUAAGGGGCACUUGAGACAAAGUAAUAGUAAUAAUCUGUAUAAAAUUUUAAAUUCUACAUUUUGAAGCCCUUUGGACUCCAAACACUAUACUUUUUCCACUUCCCAUAUGAUUUCCCUAUCAAAAAAGUUGAUAGUAUGCUCAACAUCAUGAGACCUCAAGAGGAAGUGAGGAGGUAAGAAUAUUGAAGUUUCAGAUAAGCAAAUGAAUAUGCAAUGUGGGCCCUCGAAAAUAAAUGAUGGCAAAACAACAAACUUUGAGUUUGGUUUCAAUGUGUUUUUAUUGUUGGCAAUGAGGCUUUCAGCACUAUUUGCUAUAAUCUUCCCACAGAUAAUCACAUUUAACAUUUUCCCACAAGUCUGCUUAAUAAAUAUACUUAUUUACGUGCAAAAUCAUUCAAAGGUUAAGCCCUUAGCUGUUACUUAUAAAUUAUGUAGCUAUAUAUCAUGUAUCAAUUUUAGGUCCAUCUAGGCAGAACUACAUAAAAACCAUGCCUGUAAGCGUUAACUAGGGCUAUAACCAUUCUCAUAGAGGCCUUUGAUAAAUUCAAAAUUUCUUGUAGAUAUUUAAACUUUCAUUCUAUGAUGAAGACCAUAUAUGCAUUUUAGCAUAUACCAUUAUAGUAAAUAAAUUAUAAAAUUAUUAUUAUGGUUCUGAUAUUAAUCUACAAAUUUCUUUUCACCCAGAAGUUCAUACUAAUGUUCAACCAGAGUAGCUGACAAAUACUUCUGAUCUGUUUGGGGCCUUCUUUGGCAGUCCCAUGUUAUUUUCCUUUUGUAGAGAGGAUCUGUUUAGGAUCUAUUAACUGCAGGGAAUCUGUGCAUUAAAAUGACAAUUAUUAAGGACAAACCUUCAUCAGGUAAUAGCUGCUAUGGAAGCCUUUACUUCCCACCAAUAAACUCCACUGAAUGCUAUUUACCUAAUUUUCUUAUUAUGCCAAAGCACUGUGACAUUCUCCAAGACAGUUUCUCUAAUCUAAUCACUCUCUAUCUGUAUUCUUUCAAAUGAGAGACCAGCAUGUGGUGCUUCUAUGAUGAUCAGAAAGAUAUUUUAAGCAAUUUUUGGCAUGGAAAGUCACUUUUGGAUUCAAAUCUGAGCUGAAAGGGAUAUGUCAUUGCAGAAAUGAGGACUCUGUGACACUUCCUGUGCCACACCAUGAAAUCUCUCCUCUGUAACUGCUCAGAGACAUUAACAUCUAAUUACUUUCUGCUCAUAAUUGUGAAUGUUACAUUUGCAAACAGCCAUUUUCUAAGAACUAAUAUGGCUAUUUGUGUCCAAAAUCAUCUCCAUGUACUUUAUUUUCUGUGGGCUAAUUUUGAGAAGGUUGUUUACAUCUUGAACAAUUGUUUGUAUACAAAAAGUGCAAAAUGAGGGAAUGUCAAAGGAACUAGCACCAGGUUUAAUGCUUUGCCUGUUAAGCCAGUUUUUUUCUCACUAAAACUGU
This 4161-nucleotide long non-coding RNA is filed under the name Homo sapiens (human). Its description in RNAcentral is "HSALNT0249367". The record is from RNAcentral. Lineage: Eukaryota; Metazoa; Chordata; Mammalia; Primates; Hominidae.